RNAcentral lists this long non-coding RNA (669 nucleotides) under Daucus carota (carrot). Its description in RNAcentral is "long non-coding RNA (DCAR_LNC003960)". The record is from RNAcentral. Lineage: Eukaryota; Viridiplantae; Streptophyta; Magnoliopsida; Apiales; Apiaceae.
GGUCCUGGGCCAGACUGCUGAUUAUAGCCUUCAUUGUUUGGCAUGUUUCGGGGCUGAAAAUUUCCAGUUCCACUGUUUGGAGGCACUCCUCCUCCCAUAUAAUUUGGAGGUGGAGCGCCACCUCCUAAGUUAUUCUGCUGCAUCCCUCCCAAAUUAUUCUGAGGCAUCCCUCCCAUACUAUCUUGUGGCAUUCGCCCCAUAUUUGAUGGGCCUCCUCCCAUAUUUGAAGGACCUCCGCCCAUAUAUUGAGGGCCUCCAGGUCCUCCCAUAUUUUGUGGGCCUCCCAUGCCAGGUGGCCCUCCUCCCAUAUUUUGUGGGCCUCCCAUGCCAGGUGGCCCUCCCAUAUUUUGUGGGCCUCCUCUCCCUGGCGGCCCUCCUCCCAUAUUCUGUGGACCUCCCAUCCCAGGCGGCCCUCCCAUAUUCUGUGGGCCUCCCAUGCCAGGUGGCCCUCCUCCCAUAUUCUGUGGGCCUCCCAUGCCAGGUGGCCCUCCUCCCAUAUUCUGUGGACCUCCCAUUCCAGGUCCCAUGUUCUGUGGGCCUCCCACUCCUGGUGGCCCUCCCAUGUUAUUAGGACCAGGACCUUGCCUGUUCUGCUGCAUAUUUUCUCUUUUUCGUUCAAAGUUUCUUGAUCUAUCAAAGUUGCGAGGUCGGUCAUUGCGCCUAUUUCUC